This 1106-nucleotide ribosomal RNA is filed under the name marine metagenome. Its description in RNAcentral is "bacterial SSU rRNA". It matches the Rfam family "Archaeal small subunit ribosomal RNA", at positions 64 to 1176 of the family's 1478-position model. The record is from RNAcentral.
GUCUUAGGGACUCGGCGUACCGCUCAGUAACACGUGGGUAACCUGCCCUGUGCUGGGGAAUAACCUCGGGAAACUGAGAAUAAUACCCCAUAGUUCACCACGCCUGGAACGGUGGGUGGAUCAAAGCUCCGGCGGCACAGGAUGGGCCUGCGGCGUAUCAGGUCGUAGGGGGUGUAACGUACCCUCUAGCCAUCGACGCGUACGGGUGUUGGGAGACAUAGCCCGGAGAUGGAUUCUGAGACACGAAUCCAGACCCUACGGGGUGCAGCAGGCGCGAAAACUUGGCAAUGCGAGAAAUCGUGACCAGGGAACUCCAAGUGGCUGGGGUAAGACCCAGUCUUUUCUUGACUCUUCAAAGGUCUUGGAAUAAGAGGUGGGUAAGGACGGUGCCAGCCGCCGCGGUAAUACCGGCGCCUCAAGUGGUAGUCGCUUUUAUUGGGCCUAAAACGUCCGUAGCCGGUCUGGUACAUUCGUGGGUAAAUCAACCCGCUCAACGGGUUGAAUUCUGCGAGCACGGCCAGACUUGGGACCGGGAGAGGUGUGGGGUACUCUCAGGGUAGGGGUAAAAUCCUGUCAUCCUAAGCGGACCACCUGUUGCGAAGGCGCCACACUAGAACGGAUCCGACGGUCAGGGACGAAGCCUAGGGGCACGAACCGGAUUAGAUACCCGGGUAGUCCUAGGUGUAAACGCUGUGGACUUUGUGUCGGGAAUUCUUCGAGGAUUCUCGGUGCCGGAGUGAAGAUGUUAAGUCCACUGCCUGGGGAGUACGGUCGCAAGGCUGAAACUUAAAGGAAUUGGCGGGGGAGCACUGCAACGAGAGGAGCGUGCGGUUUAAUUGGAUUCAACGCCGGAAAACUCACCAUGGCCGACUGUUAGAUGAAGACCAGCGUAAUGAGCUUGUCGGAUUUUCAGAGAGGUGGUGCAUGGCCGUCGUCAGUUCGUACCGUAAGGCGUUCUGUUAAGUCAGAUAACGAACGAGACCCUCAUCUCUAUUUGCUACCCUUCUCUCCGGAGGAGGCGCACCAUAGAGAGACCGCUGGUGCUAAACCAGAGGAAGGCGAGGGCAACGACAGGUCAGUAUGCCCCGAAUGUCAUGGGCUACACG